Molecule: ribosomal RNA, 590 nt
Filed under: Parabaena sagittata
Lineage: Eukaryota; Viridiplantae; Streptophyta; Magnoliopsida; Ranunculales; Menispermaceae
Description: eukaryotic LSU rRNA
Rfam family: 5.8S ribosomal RNA (bases 207-362)
Source: RNAcentral
CAUUGUCGAAUGCCGCACAACAGAACGACCCGCGAACCGUUUAAAAUCUCAACCCUCCGAGCGGGCGCCGUCGCCGUCCAUCGGCCGGCGUCUCGGUCGCUAACAACAAAAUCCCGGCGCGGUCCGCGCCAAGGAAUUCGAAACGGAAACUCCGCGCCCGAGACGGUCGCACUUCUCGGCGUCGGUUUUCAAAAGAAGUCUUUAACGACUCUCGGCAACGGAUAUCUCGGCUCUCGCAUCGAUGAAGAACGUAGCGAAAUGCGAUACUUGGUGUGAAUUGCAGAAUCCCGUGAACCAUCGAGUUUUUGAACGCAAGUUGCGCCCGAGGCCACCUGGUCGAGGGCACGUCUGCCUGGGCGUCACGCUAACGCCGCCCCCAUCCCCCCUCUUCGGACCGCGGAUGGGAGCGAAAGUUGGCCCCCCGCGGCGUGCAGCCCGCGGUCGGCUGAAACAGAUUUUGCCCCGACGUCGCUCGACGACGCGAUCAAUGGUGGUAGACAGCACGGUUGCGCCGCGAUUGGACGACGCGAUCGGAGAGCGCGCGGGCAGUUGAACCCCGGCGAGCGAGAGCUCGCACACGCGACCCCAGG